Non-coding RNA from Phascolarctos cinereus (koala), 260 nucleotides. Lineage: Eukaryota; Metazoa; Chordata; Mammalia; Diprotodontia; Phascolarctidae. The record is from RefSeq and is a predicted model, not a curated record.
CUUGGAAGAGCCCCUAUAAGAAGCUUGUGACUGCAGAAUAUGUCAAUGAGAAAUCAGUAGGCCGACAUGCUACGUCUACAAAGAUUCAGUUGUUUCCUUUUUGGGAAACCCUAAAAGGAGAAUGGCAUAAUUGACCAGUGAAGCUAAAGUAAUUGGUGGAAAUGUUUUCAUCUCCUGGCUACACCAAAUGAACAAAUUCCAACUCUUUAAAAGAAGAGAAAAAUCAAAGUUAUCAUGCCAGGUGAUCUCACCCUGGGGAA